RNAcentral lists this ribosomal RNA (292 nucleotides) under uncultured bacterium. RNAcentral describes it as "partial 16S ribosomal RNA". It matches the Rfam family "Bacterial small subunit ribosomal RNA", at positions 505 to 796 of the family's 1533-position model. The record is from RNAcentral.
GUGUCAGCCGCCGCGGUAAUACGUAGGGUGCAAGCGUUGCCCGGAUUUAUUGGGCGUAAAGGGCGCGUAGGCGGCUACGCACGUCCGUUGUGAAAUCGCCCGGCUCAACUGGGCGGGGUCGGCGGAUACGGCGUAGCUGGAGCAAGCUAGGGGGCAAUGGAAUUCCCGGUGUAGUGGUGGAAUGCGUAGAUAUCGGGAGGAACACCAGUGGCGAAGGCGGUUGCCUGGGGCUUUGCUGACGCUGAUGCGCGAAAGCGUGGGGAGCGAUCCGGAUUAGAUACCCCCGUAGUCC